CUACGGGUCGCUGCAGUGAGGAAUUUUGCGCAAUGGGGGAAACCCUGACGCAGCAACGCCGCGUGAGCGAAGAAGGCCCUCGGGUCGUAAAGCUCUGUCAAGUGGGAAAAAAAUCUUUUGAUCAAUAGUCAAAAGACUUGAUGGUACCACUGGAGGAAGCACCGGCUAACUCCGUGCCAGCAGCCGCGGUAAUACGGAGGGUGCAAGCGUUGUUCGGAUUUACUGGGCGUAAAGAGCGUGUAGGCGGUUUAGCAAGUCAGAUGUGAAAGCCCUGGGCUCAACCCGGGAAGUGCAUUUGAAACUGCUUCACUAGAGUAUGGGAGAGGAGAGUGGAAUGCCUGGUGUAGAGGUGAAAUUCGUAGAUAUCAGGAGGAACACCCGUGGCGAAGGCGAUUCGCUGGACCAAUACUGACGCUGAGACGCGAAAGCGUGGGGAGCAAACAGGAUUAGAUACCCUAGUAGUC
Molecule: ribosomal RNA, 464 nt
Filed under: uncultured bacterium
Lineage: Bacteria
Description: partial 16S ribosomal RNA
Rfam family: Bacterial small subunit ribosomal RNA
Source: RNAcentral